This 1328-nucleotide ribosomal RNA is filed under the name Streptomyces sp. CAI-78. RNAcentral's name for it is "partial 23S ribosomal RNA". It matches the Rfam family "Bacterial large subunit ribosomal RNA", at positions 1628 to 2925 of the family's 2925-position model. Lineage: Bacteria; Bacillati; Actinomycetota; Actinomycetes; Kitasatosporales; Streptomycetaceae. The record is from RNAcentral.
AGUUUCAUGGCGGCCCGUACCCUAAACCGACUCAGGUGGUCAGGUAGAGAAUACCGAGGCGUUCGGGUGAACUAUGGUUAAGGAACUCGGCAAAAUGCCCCCGUAACUUCGGGAGAAGGGGGGCCAUGUCUGGUGAUCCGAUUUACUCGGUGAGCUGGGUGUGGCCGCAGAGACCAGCGAGAAGCGACUGUUUACUAAAAACACAGGUCCGUGCGAAGCCGUAAGGCGAUGUAUACGGACUGACGCCUGCCCGGUGCUGGAACGUUAAGGGGACCGGUUAGUCACAUUUCGGUGUGGCGAAGCUGAGAACUUAAGCGCCAGUAAACGGCGGUGGUAACUAUAACCAUCCUAAGGUAGCGAAAUUCCUUGUCGGGUAAGUUCCGACCUGCACGAAUGGCGUAACGACUUCUCGACUGUCUCAACCAUAGGCCCGGUGAAAUUGCAUUACGAGUAAAGAUGCUCGUUUCGCGCAGCAGGACGGAAAGACCCCGGGACCUUUACUACAGUUUGAUAUUGGUGUUCGGUUCGGCUUGUGUAGGAUAGGUGGGAGACUGUGAAGCAUGCACGCCAGUGUGUGUGGAGUCGUCGUUGAAAUACCACUCUGGUCGUGCUGGAUGUCUAACCUGGGUCCGUGAUCCGGAUCAGGGACAGUGUCUGAUGGGUAGUUUAACUGGGGCGGUUGCCUCCUAAAGAGUAACGGAGGCGCCCAAAGGUUCCCUCAGCCUGGUUGGUAAUCAGGUGUUGAGUGUAAGUGCACAAGGGAGCUUGACUGUGAGACCGACGGGUCGAGCAGGGACGAAAGUCGGGACUAGUGAUCCGGCGGUGGCUUGUGGAAGCGCCGUCGCUCAACGGAUAAAAGGUACCCCGGGGAUAACAGGCUGAUCUUCCCCAAGAGUCCAUAUCGACGGGAUGGUUUGGCACCUCGAUGUCGGCUCGUCGCAUCCUGGGGCUGGAGUCGGUCCCAAGGGUUGGGCUGUUCGCCCAUUAAAGCGGUACGCGAGCUGGGUUUAGAACGUCGUGAGACAGUUCGGUCCCUAUCCGCUGUGCGCGUAGGAAUAUUGAGAAGGGCUGUCCCUAGUACGAGAGGACCGGGACGGACGAACCUCUGGUGUGCCAGUUGUUCUGCCAAGGGCAUGGCUGGUUGGCUACGUUCGGGAGGGAUAACCGCUGAAAGCAUCUAAGCGGGAAGCCUGCUUCGAGAUGAGUAUUCCCACCUCCUUGAGAGGGUAAGGCUCCCAGUAGACGACUGGGUUGAUAGGCCGGAUAUGGAAGCCCUGUAAGGGGUGGAGUUGACCGGUACUAAUAGGCCGAGGGCUUGUCCUCAGUUG